AGAGUUUGAUCCUGGCUCAGAUUGAACGCUGGCGGCAGGCCUAACACAUGCAAGUCGAACGGUAACAGAGAAACAGCUUGCUGUUUCGCUGACGAGUGGCGGACGGGUGAGUAAUGUCUGGGAAACUGCCUGAUGGAGGGGGAUAACUACUGGAAACGGUAGCUAAUACCGCAUAACGUCGCAAGACCAAAGAGGGGGACCUUCGGGCCUCUUGCCAUCGGAUGUGCCCAGAUGGGAUUAGCUUGUUGGUGGGGUAACGGCUCACCAAGGCAACGAUCCCUAGCUGGUCUGAGAGGAUGACCAGCCACACUGGAACUGAGACACGGACCACACUCCUACGGGAGGCAGCAGUGGGGAAUAUUGCACAAUGGGCGCAAGCCUGAUGCAGCCAUGCCGCGUGUAUGAAGAAGGGCUUCGGGUUGUAAAGUACUUUCAGCGGGGAGGAAGGGAGAAAAGUUGAUACCUUUGCUCAUUGACGUUACCCGCAGAAUAAGCACCGGCUCACUCCGUGCCAGCAUCCGCGGUAAUACGGAGGAUGCAAGGCGUUAAUCGGAAUUACUGGGCGUAAAACGCACACGGGCGGUUUGAUAAGUCAGAUGUUAAAAUCCCCGGGGGUCACCCAGGAACUGCAUCUGAUCCUGGCAAGCUUGAGUGGUGGGGAAGGGGGGUAGAAUUCCAGGUGUAGCGGUGAAAUGCGUAGAGAUCUGGAGGAAAUACCGGUGGCGAAGGCGGCCCCCUGGACGAAGACUGACGCUCAGGUGCGAAAGCGUGGGGAGCAAACAGGAUUAGAUACCCUGGUAGUCCACGCCGUAAACGAUGUCGACUUGGAGGUUGUGCCCUUGAGGCGUGGCUUCCGGAGCUAACGCGUUAAGUCGACCGCCUGGGGAGUACGGCCGCAAGGUUAAAACUCAAAUGAAUUGACGGGGGCCCGCACAAGCGGUGGAGCAUGUGGUUUAAUUCGAAGCAACGCGAAGAACCUUACCUAAGCUUGACAUCCUUUUGACCGAUGCCUAAUCGCAUCUUUCCCUUCGGGGACAGAAGUGACAGGUGGUGCAUGGUUGUCGUCAGCUCGUGUCGUGAGAUGUUGGGUUAAGUCCCGCAACGAGCGCAACCCUUGCCUUUAGUUGCCAGCAUUAAGUUGGGCACUCUAGAGGGACUGCCAGGGAUAACCUGGAGGAAGGUGGGGAUGACGUCAAAUCAUCAUGCCCCUUAUGCUUAGGGCUACACACGUGCUACAAUGGGUGGUACAGAGGGCAGCCAAACCGUGAGGUGGAGCUAAUCCCUUAAAGCCAUUCUCAGUUCGGAUUGUAGGCUGAAACUCGCCUACAUGAAGCUGGAGUUACUAGUAAUCGCAGAUCAGAAUGCUGCGGUGAAUGCGUUCCCGGGUCUUGCACACACCGCCCGUCA
Molecule: ribosomal RNA, 1407 nt
Filed under: uncultured bacterium
Lineage: Bacteria
Description: partial 16S ribosomal RNA
Rfam family: Bacterial small subunit ribosomal RNA
Source: RNAcentral